This 145-nucleotide non-coding RNA is filed under the name Palpitomonas bilix. The record is from RNAcentral.
UCUGUUUCCGACGGAGAUCGCGAUGCCCGGGGGCCUGGUGGUUCCCUCGCUGCUCCAACCCGUCAUGGAGGGACUGGAGAGCGUGGGUCUCUUGCUGUCGAGCACGGCAAGCGUGCUUCUCCCGAACGGUCCCGAACUGGUGCUG